Molecule: ribosomal RNA, 440 nt
Filed under: uncultured bacterium
Lineage: Bacteria
Description: bacterial SSU rRNA
Rfam family: Bacterial small subunit ribosomal RNA
Source: RNAcentral
CCUACGGGGGGCAGCAGUAGGGAAUAUUGGGCAAUGGCCGCGAGGCUGACCCAGCCAUGCCGCGUGCAGGAAGAAGGCCUUCUGGGUUGUAAACUGCUUUUACCAAGGAAGAAAACGCCCCUGCGGGGGUAACUGACGGUACUUGGUGAAUAAGCACCGGCUAACUCCGUGCCAGCAGCCGCGGUAAUACGGAGGGUGCAAGCGUUGUCCGGAUUUAUUGGGUUUAAAGGGUGCGUAGGCGGCCCGUUAAGUCAGCGGUGAAAUCCCGGGGCUCAACCCCGGAACUGCCGUUGAUACUGGCGGGCUUGAGUUCGGUGAAGGCGGGCGGAACUGGCGGUGUAGCGGUGAAAUGCUUAGAUACCGCCAAGAACCCCGAUUGCGUAGGCAGCUCGCUGUGCCGAAACUGACGCUGAGGCACGAAAGCGUGGGGAGCGAACAGG